UAUUUCAACAUAUUUGCACAAUAACCUGAAUAGGAUUAAGUUGAUGUGUGUAACAACUCGUCAUUCUUUGCUGACAUCUGGAGUCUAAUGUGAAACUGGCAGCCACCAGACAGUUUUUCGUGAAUAUCAUCAGGGAAAAUAAGGAAUGAAAUACAAGAGAGCGUCGUGCAUUACCACCAUAGUAUAAACAAAAGAAAUCCAAGUUGCGGGCCUAAUUAAAUGGUUCCUGAGGAGCUCAACAUGGUCAACAGGAGAAACCUAAGCUGAUUAACUCACCAGAUGCUUUAGAUUUCCCCUGGGAUUUCCUUCCAUAGAAUAGUUCCUAUUCCGUGAUGGUACAUAAUUCAAUAAGUCGUAUAUGCAUUUGGCAAACGAGGAAGGUACUGCCAGCAAUUGAGAUUUCUCCCGUUUCUUCAUGUCGUAAUUACUCGUGAAUUGAACGUAUCUGCAAUACAUUAAUUCGCUAUCAUGCGCACUACUCACGAUAGAUUUUCGACACUUGGGAAUGGAAAAGAACUCGAUCUUUUUGCAUGAG
Molecule: long non-coding RNA, 535 nt
Organism: Armigeres subalbatus
Lineage: Eukaryota; Metazoa; Arthropoda; Insecta; Diptera; Culicidae
Exons: 3
Source: RefSeq, a predicted model, not a curated record